GUUAAAUCUCUGAAAGCUGAUGUAGCUCAUUGCAACUGCCCACAGCAUCAGCUUUAUUCUCUUGAAAGAAUGUGCUCCCAUUUAGUUUUCCAUUAAUGUUUUGAACCCUUAUCAGAACAGGUAAUCUUCUUCAGGUGUUGGUGGGAGCCAUACAAUUCACCAAAACUAAAGCUAGUGCCUAACCAAAUAUCCCAUUAUAAGCACCCCCCUUGGGAUCUAUGUCACAGACAGUAUAUUCCUUCAAAUGAUUUUCUAGGAUCAGCAAGGAAAGAGAGUUUGGGGUUUUGAUUAGUCAGAUGAGAAAAAGGUUAUGAAGAAUAUCUUACCUAAAUAGAGCCAUCUCAUUGCUUUGGGGCAAAUACAUUCAGGUCAAUUUGUUUGUUACAGCUGGUCUAUCAGAGUUAUUUAAUUUCAAUCGGUCAUACUGAUGCUGGCUUCAUCCUUAGCACUGAGGAACUUACCUUGGUAAUUUAUGACCAGCCUUUGUCCAGACUCCUCUCUUGCUACAAACUGGCUCUGUCCUGUGUCCCAUGUGAGAGGGAAACCACACAAGAGCUGUGAGGUACUGCUGCAUGUCUCAGUUCUGUGAAUCCACAGUGACUGUGACAUGAUAUGGCACCACAGUGACUGUGACAUGAUAUGGCACCUAGUCUGGAGGUGUACAGCUGCUACUUCACAAUGGCACUGGGAGGGCAGAGCAUCCCCCAGGAACUGGUCCAGGGAUGGCUGCUCUGUCCUACAGAAAGAGUCCAAAAAUCAGGAGUGUCUGGAGAGGAAAUCUGAGGAAGCUAGAGAAACAAGUAAUGCAAAAUGCUCAAAAGUCGCAGACGGGAUCAACGUUGGAAGAUCAGAUGACAACAGUUAUUCAUUCAUGUCUUGCAAGACAGAAAUAAAAUGACUUUAUGUUCAUUUCCUCCCCAGACCGCCACCCAUUUCUAAGGUUAACAGAAAGGAUUCCUGUAGUACACAAGUUAUUUUAAGAUCUUGAACAACUUACAGAUCUAACAUCUUUUUCCAUGUGUAUAAAUAACUCCACCUGCUGCAGUAUCACAUAUAUGUGAUCAUUAAAAUAGAUGCAAG
RNAcentral lists this long non-coding RNA (1080 nucleotides) under Phasianus colchicus (ring-necked pheasant). Its description in RNAcentral is "lncRNA (ENSPCLG00000019661.1)". The record is from RNAcentral. Lineage: Eukaryota; Metazoa; Chordata; Aves; Galliformes; Phasianidae.